CGCCCUUAGAGUUUGAUCAUGGCUCAGAUUGAACGCUGGCGGCAGGCCUAACACAUGCAAGUCGAACGGUAAGAGAGCUUGCUCUUGACGAGUGGCGGACGGGUGAGUAAUGUCUGGGAAACUGCCCGAUGGAGGGGGAUAACUACUGGAAACGGUAGCUAAUACCGCAUAACGUCUUCGGACCAAAGUGGUUAGUCACACCAUCGGAUGUGCCCAGAUGGGAUUAGCUAGUAGGUGGGGUAAAGGCUCACCUAGGCGACGAUCUCUAGCUGGUCUGAGAGGAUGACCAGCCACACUGGAACUGAGACACGGUCCAGACUCCUACGGGAGGCAGCAGUGGGGAAUAUUGCACAAUGGGCGCAAGCCUGAUGCAGCCAUGCCGCGUGUAUGAAGAAGGCCUUAGGGUUGUAAAGUACUUUCAGCGGGGAGGAAGGGCGACACGUAAUCGCGUCGAUUGACGUUA
RNAcentral lists this ribosomal RNA (463 nucleotides) under uncultured Erwinia sp. RNAcentral describes it as "bacterial SSU rRNA". It matches the Rfam family "Bacterial small subunit ribosomal RNA", at positions 1 to 477 of the family's 1533-position model. Lineage: Bacteria; Pseudomonadati; Pseudomonadota; Gammaproteobacteria; Enterobacterales; Erwiniaceae. The record is from RNAcentral.